CUCCUCAUGAGGUCUGGUUAAUAUCAGGAAUUAUUGCCUCAAACGCUGCAGGUUCAACCUGGAUCAGAAGCCAAGACCAAUGCCGCACUUGGAAGGGACGACCAAUAGUUCUGUGUUCCUGACCUGUCUUACAGUCUUUCGCUUCUAUCCGCAGUGGACCAUUUGGCUGAUCACGUCACUCUACAGCUGUUCUGCCACAUUUGAGCACCCACAUUAAAGACAAAUGCUGUACCUCAGACUUGUCACCAAGAAAGCUCAGUGGAGAUUUUGUAGGUUGGGGAGAUAAUGAAGAGGCAAGACAGCAAUAUGGGAUUGGCUGGAAAGAUGACAGACUGCAUAUGCACAUCAAAUAAAUUCCAAACGCAGCCAUCUAUUCCCAAGGUUUGGACAAAACAAAGGAACGAAUGUGGAACAGAAGUUUCAAAGACCUCUACGGAAAGAUAAAGUUCUCGGAGGUAUCAACCUCAUAUGAAAGGGUCUUUUAAAAGGUCAUUUUAUUAAAGCUAUGGAGAAGAAGAUUGGUUGGCCUACAGUAUCUAAGCGGUCUGUAAGAUAUUUGUAACCCUAAUGACCUGCUGCUGAAGGAUAAUCAAACCACAGUGACUAGGAAAUCAUUUCAUCAUUCCAUAAAGAUCUGCUGAGCCCCUCUAAGUGCUGAGGACUAUGGAAAGAGGCCACAGUCAGGGCAGAUAGUCUUUGCCCUUAAUUGCUCAAGAAUGAAGUGGAUGCAAUCCUGGAACUCACAGUUGGGCAGGGGCAGUUUUCAGAUAUGACAGGCCUGCUUUCCUGAGAUAUGACUCAGCCCAGAAUAAAUAUUUGUGCUUCAUCGAAGGGUUUUACCAUU
This 844-nucleotide long non-coding RNA is filed under the name Homo sapiens (human). Its description in RNAcentral is "HSALNT0026855". The record is from RNAcentral. Lineage: Eukaryota; Metazoa; Chordata; Mammalia; Primates; Hominidae.